RNAcentral lists this ribosomal RNA (254 nucleotides) under uncultured bacterium. RNAcentral's name for it is "partial 16S ribosomal RNA". It matches the Rfam family "Bacterial small subunit ribosomal RNA", at positions 524 to 776 of the family's 1533-position model. The record is from RNAcentral.
UACAGAGGUCUCGAGCGUUGUUCGGAUUCAUUGGGCGUAAAGGGCGCGUAGGCGGUCAGCACAAGUCAGUUGUGAAAUCUCCGGGCUUAACUCGGAAAGGUCAACUGAUACUGUGCGACUAGAGUGCAGAAGGGGCAACUGGAAUUCUCGGUGUAGCGGUGAAAUGCGUAGAUAUCGAGAGGAACACCUGCGGCGAAGGCGGGUUGCUGGGCUGACACUGACGCUGAUGCGCGAAAGCCAGGGGAGCGAACGGG